This 353-nucleotide unclassified non-coding RNA is filed under the name uncultured Ascomycota. Its description in RNAcentral is "sequence contains ITS2". The stretch from base 1 to 154 matches the Rfam family "5.8S ribosomal RNA". Lineage: Eukaryota; Fungi; Ascomycota. The record is from RNAcentral.
AACUUUCGGCAAUGGAUCACUUGGUUCUGGCAUCGAUGAAGAACGCAGCGAGAUGCGAUAAGUAAUGUGAAUUGCAGAAUUCAGUGAAUCAUCGAAUUUUUGAACGCAUAUUGCGCCCUUUGGCAUUCCGAAGGGCAUACCUGUUCGAGCGUCAUUACACCCCUCAAGCUUAGGUUUGAUGUUGGGCACUGCUGUAAGGGCAUGCCUAAAAAUUAGCGAUGGUAACCAACAACCACAGGCGCACAGAUGUCGCAAUGAUGGGAAAUUGGGCACCAGUCUUUAACUUUCUAAAUGUUGACCUCGGAUCAGGUAGGGAUACCCGCUGAACUUAAGCAUAUCAAUAAGCGGAGGCU